This 340-nucleotide unclassified non-coding RNA is filed under the name soil metagenome. RNAcentral describes it as "partial contains 5.8S ribosomal RNA, internal transcribed spacer 2, and large subunit ribosomal RNA". The stretch from base 1 to 120 matches the Rfam family "5.8S ribosomal RNA", at positions 35 to 154 of the family's 154-position model. The record is from RNAcentral.
GAUGAAGAACGUAGCGAAAUGCGAUAAGUAGUGUGAAUUGCAGAAUUCAGUGAAUCAUCGAAUCUUUGAACGCACAUUGCGCCCCUUGGUAUUCCAUGGGGCAUGCCUGUUCGAGCGUCAUUUGUACCUUCAAGCCUUGCUUGGUGUUGGGUGUUUGUCUCGCCUCUGCGCGCAGACUCGCCUCAAAACAAUUGGCAGCCGGCCUACUGGUUUCGGAGCGCAGCACAAGUCGCACUCUCUAUCAGCAAAGGUCUAGCAUCCAUUAAGCCUUUUUUUCAACUUUUGACCUCGGAUCAGGUAGGGAUACCCGCUGAACUUAAGCAUAUCAAUAAGCGGAGGA